This 208-nucleotide non-coding RNA is filed under the name Oscillospiraceae bacterium. Its description in RNAcentral is "6S RNA". It matches the Rfam family "6S / SsrS RNA". From Rfam's summary of the family: E. coli 6S RNA was the first non coding RNA to be sequenced, but its function was unknown until recently. Lineage: Bacteria; Bacillati; Bacillota; Clostridia; Eubacteriales; Oscillospiraceae. The record is from RNAcentral.
UUUUUCCUGCGGGGUGCGUGAUAUGGCUAUUUGGACCUACACACAUUGCCGGGGAGCUUGGACUUCGGUUGACGGGAUGCAGGCCUCCUGCCUUAAGGCUGUUUUUAUACCCCUUAUUGCAGACGUUGGAAGCGCAAAGCAACCGAGAGAGCACCCACCUGUACACACAGGGUUAAAUUAUGCUGUACACGGCCUAUGCGGGUUUACU